AACGCACAUUGCGCCCCCCGGUAUUCCGGAGGGCAUGCCUGUUCGAGCGUCAUUUCACCAAUCAAGCCCCGCUUGGUAUUGGGCGUCUGGCCCGCCUCUACGGCGGGCCCGCCCCAAAGACAUCGGCGUGGACACCGACCCCCGGCGUAUUAGAUCUUUCACGAGAGACGUCGCGAGCACCGGUGGCCGCAGCCGCGAAGGGAACGGGAGCCCCCCCCGGGGCAGACCGUCCGCCCCAUCUCAGGUUGACCUCGGAUCAGGUAGGGAUACCCGCUGAACUUAA
Molecule: unclassified non-coding RNA, 283 nt
Filed under: uncultured fungus
Lineage: Eukaryota; Fungi
Description: partial contains 5.8S ribosomal RNA, internal transcribed spacer 2, and large subunit ribosomal RNA
Source: RNAcentral